RNAcentral lists this ribosomal RNA (253 nucleotides) under uncultured bacterium. Its description in RNAcentral is "partial 16S ribosomal RNA". It matches the Rfam family "Bacterial small subunit ribosomal RNA", at positions 524 to 776 of the family's 1533-position model. The record is from RNAcentral.
UACAGAGGUGGCAAGCGUUGUUCGGAAUUACUGGGCGUAAAGGGCGCGUAGGCGGUCUCGCAAGUCCUGUGUGAAAUCCCUCGGCUCAACUGAGGAACUGCACAGGAAACUGCUUGGCUUGAGUUCGGGAGAGGGAAGCGGAAUUCCGGGUGUAGCGGUGAAAUGCGUAGAUAUCCGGAGGAACACCGGUGGCGAAGGCGGCUUCCUGGACCUGAUCUGACGCUGAGGAGCGAAAGCGUGGGGAGCGAUCCGG